UAACGAAUCUUCCGCAAUGGGCGAAAGCCUGACGGAGCAAUGCCGCGUGUGGGAUGAAGCGCCUUCGGCGUGUAAACCACUGUCAGGGAAUGGAACCAAUGAUUAUUCCCAAAGGAAGUGGCGACUAACUCUGUGCCAGCAGUCGCGGUAAUACAGAGGCCACAAGCGUUAGUCGGAAUCACUGGGCUUAAAGGGUGCGUAGGCGGGCCCGCAAGCGUCUUGUGAAAUCCCAUGGCUCAACCAUGGAAUUGCAGGGCGAACUGCGGGUCUUGAGGCAGGUAGGGGCCGGAAGAACAGUAGGUGGAGCGGUGAAAUGCGUAGAUAUCUACUGGAAUGCCGAUGGGGAAGCCGUCCGGCUGGGCCUGUCCUGACGCUGAGGCACGAAAGCGUGGGGAGCAAACAGGAUUAGAUACCCCCGUAGUCCCUGAGCGGGCUGGCAAGGCGCAU
This 447-nucleotide ribosomal RNA is filed under the name uncultured bacterium. RNAcentral's name for it is "bacterial SSU rRNA". It matches the Rfam family "Bacterial small subunit ribosomal RNA", at positions 355 to 825 of the family's 1533-position model. The record is from RNAcentral.